GAUGAACGCUGGCGGCGUGCCUAAUACAUGCAAGUCGAGCGAACAGACGAGGAGCUUGCUCCUCUGACGUUAGCGGCGGACGGGUGAGUAACACGUGGAUAGCCUACCUAUAAGACUGGGAUAACUUCGGGAACCCGGAGCUAAUACCGGAUAAUAUAUUGAACCGCAUGGUUCAAUAGUGAAAGACGGUUUUGCUGUCACUUAUAGAUGGAUCCGCGCCGCAUUAGCUAGUUGGUAAGGUAAUGGCUUACCAAGGCAACGAUGCGGAGCCGACGUGAGAGGGUGAGCGGCCACAGUGGCACUGGGACUGGGUCCCGACUCAUACGGGAGGCAGAAGUAGGGGUUCUUCAGCAAGGGGAGAAAGCCUGACGGAGCAGCGCCGCGGGAGUGAUGAAGGUCUUGGGAUCGGGAAACUCUGUUACUAGGGAAGAAGAAGUGUGUAAGUAACUAGGAGGGUCGUGACGGUACCUAAAGAGAAAGCCACGGCUAACUACGUG
RNAcentral lists this ribosomal RNA (497 nucleotides) under uncultured bacterium. Its description in RNAcentral is "partial 16S ribosomal RNA". It matches the Rfam family "Bacterial small subunit ribosomal RNA", at positions 28 to 507 of the family's 1533-position model. The record is from RNAcentral.